Molecule: small RNA, 699 nt
Filed under: Pongo abelii (Sumatran orangutan)
Lineage: Eukaryota; Metazoa; Chordata; Mammalia; Primates; Hominidae
Description: processed transcript
Source: RNAcentral
AUCCAUGAGAUUUGAGAGUCAGGGAUUCAAGUUUAUUCUUGAAUAUUUUGUGCUGAUACAAAAGUUUUGCAGUACUAUUUCAAUCUAGGAUUGCAGUGCUAUUACCACAGCUACUGGCACUCCAUGGUCUAUGUGCCACAGAUGCAGCAGCAGCUUCAUGUAGAGAAUUAUCCAGUCUAUACUGAGCCACCUCUGGUAGAUCAAACCGUUCCUCAAUUCUACAGUGAGGUGAGGAGAGAAGAUGGCAUACAGGCGGAAGCAUCAGCAAAUGAUACUUUUCCGAAUGCUGAUUCUUCAUCUGUCCCUCAUGGAGCAGUCUAUUAUCCAGUAAUGUCAGAUCCCUAUGGGCAGCCACCUUUGCCAGGUUUUGACUCCUGCCUUCCGGUUGUGCCAGAUUAUUCCUGUGUUCCCCCCUGGCAUCCAGUUGGUACAGCAUAUGGUGGUUCUUCUCAAAUUCAUGGUGCUAUAAAUCCUGGGCCAAUUGGCUAUAUUGCUCCAUCUCCCCCAGCUUCUCAUUAUGUACCUCAGGGUAUGUAAGAUCCAGCAGUAUGAAGUAUUCUUGCACUGCCAUUUUCUUGCUGUUUUUGUUUUUAAAAAGUAUUUUAUGUUAGUGGUUAAAUGAUUUAGGUGAUUAGUGUUUACUAUUGUAUUUGUCUUUAAAAUUAUUUUAUCUUUUGAUUUAAAAUAGUACUUUAAAAU